RNAcentral lists this ribosomal RNA (253 nucleotides) under uncultured bacterium. RNAcentral's name for it is "partial 16S ribosomal RNA". It matches the Rfam family "Bacterial small subunit ribosomal RNA", at positions 524 to 776 of the family's 1533-position model. The record is from RNAcentral.
UACGUAGGGGGCAAGCGUUGUCCGGAUUUAUUGGGCGUAAAGCGCGCGCAGGCGGUCUGCCAAGUUCGGAGUGACAGUUUCCGGCUUAACCGGAAAAGGUCUUCGAAAACUGGUGGACUUGAGGACUUGAGAGGGAGACGGAAUUCCGGGUGGAGCGGUGAAAUGCGUAGAUAUCGUUUGGAACGCCAAUGGUGAAAACAGGUUGCUGGGGACAUGCUGACGCUGAGACACGAAAGCCAGGGGAGCGAACGGG